This 187-nucleotide ribosomal RNA is filed under the name Salmonella enterica subsp. enterica serovar Enteritidis. Its description in RNAcentral is "partial 16S ribosomal RNA". It matches the Rfam family "Bacterial small subunit ribosomal RNA", at positions 1346 to 1533 of the family's 1533-position model. Lineage: Bacteria; Pseudomonadati; Pseudomonadota; Gammaproteobacteria; Enterobacterales; Enterobacteriaceae. The record is from RNAcentral.
AGAUCAGAAUGCUGCGGUGAAUACGUUCCCGGGCCUUGUACACACCGCCCGUCACACCAUGGGAGUCUAUUGCACCAGAAGUAGGUAGCCUAACGAAAGAGGGCGCUUACCACGGUGUGGUCGAUGACUGGGGUGAAGUCGUAACAAGGUAGCCGUAGGGGAACCUGCGGCUGGAUCACCUCCUUAA